CGUGCCGCCGGCAUAUGCUGUUGUGUACAGAUGCUUGCACCUGUCGGCACCACUCUUCAGUAGUAUGCACAAACUACCCAGAGCAGCAUGCAGCAUUGCCUACGACCCAACACAUCUCACCUGAAACUGAUUUGGUCUGCAGUGACACAGCUCAUGACUGAUAGCAGCCAGCCAACCGUAAGGAUUCGGGACUGACAAACUUGUUGAGCAAUCAUGUGCAUGAUGGAUAGCAGCCAGCUCUAGAGUGUCCCACCACCUCUGGGAUAUCUUGCAACAAAUCUUAUGACAGAUCUGUGUCAGCAUCAGUGGAUGCCGGAACUGUCUUUCUUUGGCCGACAACCGCAUCCCGCAGCACGGGUGAUAGCACAUCUUCUUCUUAUCAUAUUAUCUACAUGACUGUAAUAUUGUCAUUAUAAUUUAACCUGUACCUUCAUUUUAAAUUGUUUCCAGAGGACCUAUGAUCUUCUUACUGGAGCUCCUAUACCAGAAAAGUUAGGCAUGAAAUAUGAUCGGAAUGUCCGGAGACCCAUGAAAGCGUGACAGUAAUAGUAACUUUACAGAUUAUGCCAGUACUAAGACUUUAUUAUUAUAAUCAGAGACUUCAUGCUAGGAAAUAAUAAAUUAUCCUUCUAGUGUACUUGUCCUAUUUCCUAUUUUGUGCAGGCUCCUUGUUGUAUAAUAUGUUCUCAAAUGUGACAUACAUUAUUACAAUGUAUUACUAUUGUGAAAUGACCCAAAGGCAGUAUGCCUAUCGAGGGGUUCAUUUGAUUGAAAGAACAGUACUACUACUAG
Long non-coding RNA from Sycon ciliatum, 792 nucleotides. RefSeq lists it as uncharacterized. The transcript is spliced from 3 exons. NCBI's taxonomy places the organism in Eukaryota, Metazoa, Porifera, Calcarea, Leucosolenida, Sycettidae. The record is from RefSeq and is a predicted model, not a curated record.